This is a non-coding RNA of Cricetulus griseus (Chinese hamster), 70 nucleotides long. NCBI's taxonomy places the organism in Eukaryota, Metazoa, Chordata, Mammalia, Rodentia, Cricetidae. The record is from Rfam.
GGGAGAUGGCUCAGCAAUUAAGAGCACUGGUUGUUCUUCUAGAUGACCUGGGUUCAAUUCCCAGCUCCCA